CGCCUGGGGAGUGCGGCCGCAAGGUUAAAACUCAAAUGAAUUGACGGGGCCCGCACAAGCGGUGGAGCAUGUGGUUUAAUUCGAUGCAGCGCGAAGAACCUUACCUACACUUGACAUGCAGAGAACUUUCUAGAGAUAGAUUGGUGCCUUCGGGAACUCUGACACAGGUGCUGCAUGGCUGUCGUCAGCUCGUGUCGUGAGAUGUUGGGUUAAGUCCCGCAACGAGCGCAACCCUUGUCCUUAGUUGCCAGCAUUAAGUUGGGCACUCUAAGAGACUGCCGGUGACAAACCGGAGGAAGUGGGGACGACGUCAAGUCAUCAUGGCCCUUACGUGUAGGGCUACACACGUGCUACAAUGGCAUUUACAGAGGGAAGCGAGACAGUGA
Molecule: ribosomal RNA, 386 nt
Filed under: uncultured Alteromonas sp.
Lineage: Bacteria; Pseudomonadati; Pseudomonadota; Gammaproteobacteria; Alteromonadales; Alteromonadaceae
Description: bacterial SSU rRNA
Rfam family: Bacterial small subunit ribosomal RNA
Source: RNAcentral